This 1239-nucleotide long non-coding RNA is filed under the name Piliocolobus tephrosceles (Ugandan red Colobus). RNAcentral's name for it is "lncRNA (ENSPTEG00000010831.1)". The record is from RNAcentral. Lineage: Eukaryota; Metazoa; Chordata; Mammalia; Primates; Cercopithecidae.
GGGAGACCUCAGGAAUCUUACAAUCAUGAUGGAAGGUGAAGGAGAAGCAAAGACCCUCUUCACAUGAUGGCAGGAGAGAGAAUGAGUGCCCAAUGAAGAAAGAAGCCCUUUAUAAAACAAUCAAAUCUCGUGAGAACUCACUCACUAUCACGAGAACAGGACAGAGGAAACUGCUCCAUGAGUCAAUUAUCUCCACCCCGUCCCUCCCAAGACACCUGGGGAUUAUGGGAACUACAAUUCAAGAUGAGAGUUGGGUGGGGACACAGCCAAACCAUAUCACCGGGGAAUCCCAAGUGACCAGUGGUAGGAAGGGAUGGGGCAGGGAACGCCCAUUUGCCAGCCCUCUCCUGGGAUCUGGGCACUUGCACAGCCAUCCUGCGAGGGAGGCUUUAUCAUCCUGAUGUUACGGAUGAGGAGCUGAGGCCCUCAUGGGACUUGCCUGAACUCAGUGACGGUGGGAUCUCCAGCCAUGCAGCCUCCAUCCUGCAGAGGACCGAAAGAGCAGAACAGCCAGGAAUGUCAGAUCUGGGAGCUCCUUGCAGUUCAUGUUCCGACAUCGUUUUCCUGAGGAAAGGGGAAGCGAGUCUGGAGAACAAGAGGGGCUUGUCAAGCCUUUGUAGGAGCCAUGACUUCCAGAAACCCACUGAGUGCUUUUCCAUAGCUUCCUCCCAUGGUAAUCUCAUCAUGCCAUAGACCUUAAAUUCAGGUUGUGGGGCACAUUGGCAGGAACCUCACCACACUGGAGAAGGUUGAGCCCAGAUGGCAGGCUGGACUUCCUCAUGGGCACAUUCAAGAUGCCUGCUACCUCCUGGAGACUCCCAGAAAUGCCUAGGGGUGAGGAGCUUGUGGUUUGCAACGGAUCACAAACCUCGGGAAGGAGCCAGGGGCUUCAAGCCCAGGCAACUCGUGUGUCAAUGUCAUUGAGCCUCAUUGUUCCCAACCACAGGAGAUCAGACUGAGGGCCACUCCCAGCACAGACUUGCUGGUAAUGUGACUGCCCCAGAUCCCUCUUCAGAACCAAGUGGCUAAGAGCCUAGACUCUGGAGUCAUCUGCCAGCUCAACCACUUGCUAGCCGUGUGACCUUGGAAAGCCUACUUAACUUCUCUGCCUUGGUUUCCUGAUAUACAUUGCAGGGAGGAGGAGAAUAAUAUCCAUAGCUCACAGGAAGUUUGCAAAGAUUAAAUUAUAUGACAUAGUACCCCCAAACAUUCUGUGUAUAUAUAUGUGUAUGUGUAUUA